Molecule: ribosomal RNA, 669 nt
Filed under: Vibrio parahaemolyticus
Lineage: Bacteria; Pseudomonadati; Pseudomonadota; Gammaproteobacteria; Vibrionales; Vibrionaceae
Description: partial 23S ribosomal RNA
Rfam family: Bacterial large subunit ribosomal RNA
Source: RNAcentral
CCACCCUUGUAGUGUUGAUGUUCUAACGUCGACCCCUUAUCGGGGUUGCGGACAGUGCCUGGUGGGUAGUUUGACUGGGGCGGUCUCCUCCCAAAGAGUAACGGAGGAGCACGAAGGUGGGCUAAUCACGGUUGGACAUCGUGAGGUUAGUGCAAUGGCAUAAGCCCGCUUGACUGCGAGAAUGACAAUUCGAGCAGGUGCGAAAGCAGGUCAUAGUGAUCCGGUGGUUCUGAAUGGAAGGGCCAUCGCUCAACGGAUAAAAGGUACUCCGGGGAUAACAGGCUGAUACCGCCCAAGAGUUCAUAUCGACGGCGGUGUUUGGCACCUCGAUGUCGGCUCAUCACAUCCUGGGGCUGAAGUCGGUCCCAAGGGUAUGGCUGUUCGCCAUUUAAAGUGGUACGCGAGCUGGGUUUAGAACGUCGUGAGACAGUUCGGUCCCUAUCUGCCGUGGGCGUUGGAAGAUUGAAGGGGGCUGCUCCUAGUACGAGAGGACCGGAGUGGACGAACCUCUGGUGUUCGGGUUGUGUCGCCAGACGCAUUGCCCGGUAGCUAAGUUCGGAAUCGAUAACCGCUGAAAGCAUCUAAGCGGGAAGCGAGCCCUGAGAUGAGUCUUCCCUGAUACUUUAAGUAUCCUAAAGGGUUGUCGGAGACUACGACGUUGAUAGGUCA